Molecule: ribosomal RNA, 253 nt
Filed under: uncultured bacterium
Lineage: Bacteria
Description: partial 16S ribosomal RNA
Rfam family: Bacterial small subunit ribosomal RNA
Source: RNAcentral
UACAUGGGGUGCAAACGUUGCUCGGAAUUAUUGGGCGUAAAGAGCUCGUAGGUGGCUUGUCGCGUCUGCCGUGAAAGCCCAUGGCUUAACUGUGGGUCUGCGGUGGAUACGGGCAGGCUGGAGGCUGGUAGGGGCAAGCGGAAUUCCUGGUGUAGCGGUGAAAUGCGUAGAUAUCGUCUGGAACGCCUGUGGUGAAGACGGGUGACUGGGCAGGUUCUGACACUGAGGCACGAAAGCGUGGGGAGCGAACGGG